GUCCCGGUAGCUCAGCUGGAUAGAGCGGCGGUUUCCUAAACCGCAGGCCGGCAGUUCGAAUCUGCCCCGGGACG
This 74-nucleotide transfer RNA is filed under the name Phycisphaeraceae bacterium. Its description in RNAcentral is "tRNA-Arg". It matches the Rfam family "tRNA". From Rfam's summary of the family: Transfer RNA (tRNA) molecules are approximately 80 nucleotides in length. Their secondary structure includes four short double-helical elements and three loops (D, anti-codon, and T loops). Further hydrogen bonds mediate the characteristic L-shaped molecular structure. tRNAs have two regions of fundamental functional importance: the anti-codon, which is responsible for specific mRNA codon recognition, and the 3' end, to which the tRNAs corresponding amino acid is attached (by aminoacyl-tRNA synthetases). tRNAs cope with the degeneracy of the genetic code in two manners: having more than one tRNA (with a specific anti-codon) for a particular amino acid; and 'wobble' base-pairing, i.e. permitting non-standard base-pairing at the 3rd anti-codon position. The record is from RNAcentral. Lineage: Bacteria; Pseudomonadati; Planctomycetota; Phycisphaerae; Phycisphaerales; Phycisphaeraceae. RNAcentral also lists the same sequence under 4 other names.